CAGGUCACUCCUACGGGAGGCAGCAGUGGGGAAUCUUGCACAAUGGGGGAAACCCUGAUGCAGCGACGCCGCGUGAGCGAUGAAGCCCUUCGGGGUGUAAAGCUCUUUCGUCAGGGAAGAUAAUGACGGUACCUGGAGAAGCAGCUGCGGCUAACUACGUGCCAGCAGCCGCGGUAAUACGUAGGCAGCAAGCGUUGUUCGGAGUUACUGGGCGUAAAGGGUGUGUAGGCGGUUCUUUAAGUUUGGUGUGAAAUCUCCCGGCUCAACCGGGAGGGUGCGCCGAAUACUGAGGGACUAGAGUGCGGGAGAGGAAAGUGGAAUUCCUGGUGUAGCGGUGAAAUGCGUAGAUAUCAGGAGGAACACCGGUGGUGUAGACGGCUUUCUGGACCGUAACUGACGCUGAGACACGAAAGCGUGGGUAGCAAACAGGAUUAGAUACCCUGGUAGUCCACGCCCUAAACGAUGCAUAUUUGGUGUGGGUCAUUCAGUUGAUCCGUGCCGGAGCUAACGCGUUAAAUAUGCCGCCUGGGGAGUACAGUCGCAAGGCUGAAACUCAAAGGAAUUGACG
This 568-nucleotide ribosomal RNA is filed under the name uncultured Acidobacteriota bacterium. RNAcentral describes it as "bacterial SSU rRNA". It matches the Rfam family "Bacterial small subunit ribosomal RNA", at positions 329 to 915 of the family's 1533-position model. The record is from RNAcentral. Lineage: Bacteria; Pseudomonadati; Acidobacteriota.